CCUACGGGGGGCAGCAGUGGGGAAUAUUGGGCAAUGGGCGCAAGCCUGACCCAGCAACGCCGCGUGAAGGAAGAAGGCUUUCGGGUUGUAAACUUCUUUUCUCAGGGACGAAGCAACUGACGGUACCUGAGGAAUAAGCUACGGCUAACUACGGGCUAGCAGCCGCGGGAACACGUAGGUGGCAAGCGUUAUCCGGAUUUACUGGGUGUAAAGGGCGUGUAGGCGGGGUCGCAAGUCAGAUGUGAAUACCACGGGCUCAACCUGUGGCCAGCAUUUGAAACUGGGUUUCUAGAGUACGGGAGAGACAGGCGGAAUGCGUGGUGUAGCGGUGAAAUGCGUAGAUAUUAGGAGGAACACCAGUGGCGAAGGCGGUCUGCUGGAGAACAACUGACGCUGAGGCGCGAAAGCGUGGGGAGCAAACAGGAUUAGAUACCCGAGUAGUC
This 443-nucleotide ribosomal RNA is filed under the name uncultured bacterium. RNAcentral's name for it is "partial 16S ribosomal RNA". It matches the Rfam family "Bacterial small subunit ribosomal RNA", at positions 338 to 795 of the family's 1533-position model. The record is from RNAcentral.